AGGUGCCAUGUACAGCUGAGAAAAAGUGACAUUCCUUUCUAUUUCUGUUCAGUUGUAUCCAGAGUUCUAUCAUGUCUAACUUUUCUAAUAUUCUUUUCCUCUCCUUAACUUCUGUUUUAUUAUUUUAUACAUACAUUUGCUUAAUUCUGAGAGGGGAAAGUUGAGGUCACUGCUUAGUAUAGUUUUACCAUCUAGUUCCUUCUGUAAGCCAUGUAAAUUUUCCUUUAAGAAAUUGGAUGCUCUGCCAUUUGGUGCAUCUCGUUUUAGUAUUGAUAUUAUAUUAUUGUCUCUGGUACCUUUUCAGCAAGAUAUAGUUUCCCUGCUUAUCUCUUUGACUUAGGACCAUUUCAGCUUUUCCUUUGUCAGAGAUCAUGAUUUCUACCCUUACCUUUUACACUUCACCUAAACAAGUGUCUCUGUGAGUGUUGGGCAGCAGUGGGGGGAGGGGUGGUGGAAGCAUGGGGAUUGUCUAAAGCUUCAGACCUUUUCACACUGCUGCUUUCAGAGCUAGUUCUGGGAGUCUGACAGUUUUUGAGGGUUCCAAAGUGAUGUGAUUGGGGGAGAGGUUUGGCCCAUGCUUUCCUGGUUUGUGCUCUGGCCUUUACCUAGCAAGAACCACUUAUCCCUUGGGAAUGCAAUGGAUCCUGCUCCUCACGGUCCCUGUUCCUUCUUGUCAGAAUGUUCUCCUCUGUGCCCUUGAACUGUGACCUGGAAGUCUGUAUAGACAAUGGGGUGUCCAAAUAGCUUCCAAGUUGUUCUCAUGGAAUAGUUGAAGCUUCCCUUGCUACUUACAUUAAAUGUUCACAUUCUCUUUGGGAUUAUAGGUCCAACUCCCAGACCCUUGAACCCACUGUACUUAAAGCAAAUAGAGGAGUUCCUAAUUCAGGCAGCGUCCUGGACAGCGGUUUGGCAACAGCCUUCUGGGAUCUCUGAAUCCCUCCAUCUAGGUGGUUCAUUGGUAAGCACAAUACACCUGGAAUUAGGAAGAUCUGAGUUCCAAUCCAGCCUCAGGCAUUUCCUAGUUAUAUGACCUUGGCCAAGGGCAAGUCAGAGUAUACCUAGUCAAGCACUCUUUUGUCUUUUUGCCUCCUCAGUAAGACUGAUAGCCCAUGUGAAUGUGUCUGUGAUCUUACAGUGCUGUCUGGGUCACUAAGAGGUUAGGUGACUUGACUGUGGUCAUGCUGCUAGCAUGAUCCUGAAGCUGGCCCUCUAUCCUUAGGGAUCAGAGAAUCCGUCCCUUCCAUCCAGGCACAGUACAAGCAUCACCUAUUCCAUGAAGGCUUUCUUGUUUCCAGCUCCUAGUGGCCUGGAUCCCAGAGUACCUUGUACUUUGCCUUUAUUUGCAUUUAUUCUCCAUAUACUUUUAUUUAUUUUCUGUCUCAUCAGAAGAUAAGCUUCUAAUGGU
Molecule: long non-coding RNA, 1405 nt
Filed under: Phascolarctos cinereus (koala)
Lineage: Eukaryota; Metazoa; Chordata; Mammalia; Diprotodontia; Phascolarctidae
Description: lncRNA (ENSPCIG00000037151.1)
Source: RNAcentral